UAGGGAAUCUUCGNNAAUGGGGGGAACCCUGACCGAGCAACGCCGCGUGAGUGAAGAAGGUUUUCGGAUCGUAAAGCUCUGUUGUUAAGGAAGAACGUGUGUGAGAGUGGAAAGUUCACACAGUGACGGUACUUAACCAGAAAGGGACGGCUAACUACGUGCCAGCAGCCGCGGUAAUACGUAGGUCCCGAGCGUUGUCCGGAUUUAUUGGGCGUAAAGCGAGCGCAGGCGGUUAGAUAAGUCUGAAGUGAAAGGCAGUGGCUCAACCAUUGUAGGCUUUGGAAACUGUUUAACUUGAGUGCAGAAGGGGAGAGUGGAAUUCCAUGUGUAGCGGUGAAAUGCGUAGAUAUAUGGAGGAACACCGGUGGCGAAAGCGGCUCUCUGGUCUGUAACUGACGCUGAGGCUCGAAAGCGUGGGGAGCGAACAGGAUUAGAUACCCUGGUAGUCCACGCCGUAAACGAUGAGUGCUAAGUGUUGGGAGGUUUCCGCCUCUCAGUGCUGCAGCUAACGCAUUAAGCACUCCGCCUGGGGAGUACGACCGCAAGGUUG
This 550-nucleotide ribosomal RNA is filed under the name uncultured bacterium. Its description in RNAcentral is "bacterial SSU rRNA". It matches the Rfam family "Bacterial small subunit ribosomal RNA", at positions 355 to 896 of the family's 1533-position model. The record is from RNAcentral.